GACGAACGCUGGCGGCGUGCUUAACACAUGCAAGUCGAACGGAAAGGCCCUGCUUUUGUGGGGUGCUCGAGUGGCGAACGGGUGAGUAACACGUGAGUAACCUGCCCUUGACUUUGGGAUAACUUCAGGAAACUGGGGCUAAUACCGGAUAGGAGCUCCUGCUGCAUGGUGGGGGUUGGAAAGUUUCGGCGGUUGGGGAUGGACUCGCGGCUUAUCAGCUUGUUGGUGGGGUAGUGGCUUACCAAGGCUUUGACGGGUAGCCGGCCUGAGAGGGUGACCGGCGACAUUGGGACUGAGGUACGGCCCAGACGGCUACGGGAGGCAGCAGUGGGGAAUAUUGCACAAUGGGCGGAAGCCUGAUGCAGCGACGCCGCGUGCGGGAUGACGGCCUUCGGGUUGUAAACCGCUUUCGCCUGUGACGAAGCGUGAGUGACGGUAAUGGGUAAAGAAGCACCGGCUAACUACGUG
This 468-nucleotide ribosomal RNA is filed under the name uncultured bacterium. Its description in RNAcentral is "partial 16S ribosomal RNA". It matches the Rfam family "Bacterial small subunit ribosomal RNA", at positions 28 to 507 of the family's 1533-position model. The record is from RNAcentral.